RNAcentral lists this unclassified non-coding RNA (343 nucleotides) under soil metagenome. RNAcentral describes it as "partial contains 5.8S ribosomal RNA, internal transcribed spacer 2, and large subunit ribosomal RNA". The stretch from base 1 to 120 matches the Rfam family "5.8S ribosomal RNA", at positions 35 to 154 of the family's 154-position model. The record is from RNAcentral.
GAUGAAGAACGCAGCGAAAUGCGAUAAGUAAUGUGAAUUGCAGAAUUCAGUGAAUCAUCGAAUCUUUGAACGCACAUUGCGCCCGCCAGCAUUCUGGCGGGCAUGCCUGUUCGAGCGUCAUUUCAACCCUCGAGCCCCCCCGGGGGCCUCGGUGUUGGGGGACGGCACACCAGCCGCCCCCGAAAUGCAGUGGCGACCCCGCCGCAGCCUCCCCUGCGUAGUAGCACACACCUCGCACCGGAGCGCGGAGGCGGUCACGCCGUAAAACGCCCAACUUUCUUAGAGUUGACCUCGGAUCAGGUAGGAAUACCCGCUGAACUUAAGCAUAUCAAUAAGCGGAGGG